CUUGCGUUUUAAGGUGCCAAAGUAGAAUCUACUGUGUAUGAAGCAAAUUAGAAUUCAUUUAUUAGGAAAAUAACAAAAGAGCAUAUACACACUUACCACAUGCAUAUGUGUUAUUGCAGUUAUCAUUGCAUAAAAGAGAGAAGCAUACUUUUGAAGGAGUAGAAUAGGCUUUAACUAAUAGAUUAAACCUGAAUAAUGAUGAUUGAACUUAAUUUUAUCUUUGUGGUUGACUUUGAUAUCAUAUUGAUAAAAUGUAUCGGGUUAAAUUCUAUCCUAAAAAGUACUUUACGAGAAGAGAAUUAUCCAACUGAUGUGAGACUCAACCAGUUAGGUGAUUGGAAUGAAAGUUUGGAGUGAUUAUGAUCUCCUUCAUAGGUGACAACUAACAUAGUGGGAUCCUGUAAACAUCGUUCCACAUGCUUUCUUGCAGGGCAUCCCCUCAUGCUGCUGCAUUUGUAAUAGCUCCUGGGAUAAGGGGAUCCUUUUAUGGGCUUCUGUCCAUAUUUUCUCCAAGUGUAAUCAUCUGGAGGUAUCUCAGCUAAUUUGCCACUUAAAGCCGGGACUUGAAUUAUUUUCUUGAUUCUUGAUUUCCUUCGCUUAGAACAGUGACAUUCACCGGUUGAGGCUCGGCACUUGGCACUGGUCUCCUCACUCAUAAUCCCACUCGUGCUCUUUGGAAACACAGAGGAAUUGUCUCGAGAUCCCAGAGUUUCAGAUGCUGAAUAAUGAACUAAUCGCUUGUCUGGGCCACCUCUUCUAUCCAAGCUUAAAAAAGAUGUGCCUGGCUGUGAUAAUGAGAGGUUCGAUACGGUCAAACUGUUUGUGACAUCCACAUUGGCUUUAGACUUAUUUCUUUUCCUGUCAAAGCUGAAACUAUUGAUAGGGAUCAAGGAAUUGGUUGCUUGAAUACUCUGAAGAGGGAAUAGUUGUCUAAUUAUAUGAGGUCUGGGUUGGGUAGUCAAGUUGCAUCCUGAGCUCUGGGGCACAGAACUAGGACAAUCCAUCAAUUCAACUGGAUCUAUGUCAUAGGAAAGUGGCAAAGGACCUUUCCUGAUCCUUUUAGGAUCCGACUGUGAUGAUCCAUCAAGGAGAGUGAGUAGAUAUCUGAAUUCAUUGACUGCACCUUGAGCAAUCAGGCUCACUUCAUGAAUGCUUCUCUUUCGAUUUUUAUCAGAAAUACAGCUGAACAAAUGAUAAGCUUGCUUGAAAGUACUCUGUGCAGCCUCGAGAACUUUGAAAUCCCAUCUUGGGGUCAUUGAAAUACAGACACCUGAAGUUUCCUUCAUGCUAUAAUGAUACCUUUUUCUAAUUCAAUCCACCUGAUGAAGGACUCAAAGGUGGCAAAAGCUAAGAAUUUAGAUGGUUAUAUUCUGCCAUAGCUAAGGUAGGCUUGAUCAUGUGAACAAUAGUCCUAUAGAUACAAAGGCUGUAGUUUCUGAUAAUACCCAUGUAAGAGAAAACACAGAUGAGUCAAGCAAUUAAGUGACUGCAAAAUGUACCCAACCCAGUUAUUGAAGCAUUCUCUUUUUGUUUUUUUGGGGAUGUAUACAACUGAUCAAAUCGAACAAGC
Molecule: unclassified non-coding RNA, 1570 nt
Filed under: Hevea brasiliensis (rubber tree)
Lineage: Eukaryota; Viridiplantae; Streptophyta; Magnoliopsida; Malpighiales; Euphorbiaceae
Source: RNAcentral